This 427-nucleotide ribosomal RNA is filed under the name uncultured bacterium. RNAcentral describes it as "bacterial SSU rRNA". It matches the Rfam family "Bacterial small subunit ribosomal RNA", at positions 355 to 774 of the family's 1533-position model. The record is from RNAcentral.
UGGGGAAUAUUGGACAAUGGGCGCAAGCCUGAUCCAGCAAUGCCGCGUGUGUGAAGAAGGCCUGCGGGUUGUAAAGCACUUUCAGUGGGGAGGAAGGCCUCGGCGUUAAUAUCGUCGAGGAUUGACGUUACCUACAGAAGAAGCACCGGCUAACUCUGUGCCAGCAGCCGCGGUAAUACAGAGGGUGCAAGCGUUAAUCGGAAUUACUGGGCGUAAAGGGCGCGUAGGUGGUUAAUUAAGUCAGAUGUGAAAUCCCCGGGCUUAACCUGGGAAUUGCAUUUGAAACUGAUUGGCUAGAGUACGGGAGAGAGAAGUGGAAUUUCCGGUGUAGCAGUGAAAUGCGUAGAUAUCGGAAGGAACACCAGUGGCGAAGGCGACUUCCUGGCCCGUUACUGACACUGAGGCGCGAAAGCGUGGGGAGCGAACA